GGGGUUGUGGCUCAGUGGUAGAGUGCUCGCCUAGCAUGUGAGAGGCCCCCGGGUUUGAUCCUCAGCACCA
Molecule: transfer RNA, 70 nt
Filed under: Marmota monax (woodchuck)
Lineage: Eukaryota; Metazoa; Chordata; Mammalia; Rodentia; Sciuridae
Rfam family: tRNA
About the family: Transfer RNA (tRNA) molecules are approximately 80 nucleotides in length.
Source: Rfam by way of RNAcentral